This 273-nucleotide long non-coding RNA is filed under the name Trifolium pratense (red clover). Its description in RNAcentral is "long non-coding RNA (TPRA_LNC000838)". Lineage: Eukaryota; Viridiplantae; Streptophyta; Magnoliopsida; Fabales; Fabaceae. The record is from RNAcentral.
GAAGAACUUACGAAAUAUCACCAUUUAUCACCAUGCAUCCCUAAUGGAUUGCACAUCAAAAUACUUUUAUGUGUUAUAUAGUUCCUGAAGAACUAAUAAAACAACUUCUUUUUUCUCUUCAAUGAAUUCUAGAUAAAUUCAAUAUUCCUACAUCCUUGAAGGAUUGUAAAUUGAUAGUGAUUUAUUAUAUAGUUCCUGAAGAACUCAAUGGAUAAAAUUGUAAAAUUCAAUUGCUAAGUAAAUUUCACAUAAAGCAUGUAGCAUGAAUCGCAC